RNAcentral lists this transfer RNA (73 nucleotides) under Proteiniphilum sp. RNAcentral's name for it is "tRNA-Gly". It matches the Rfam family "tRNA". From Rfam's summary of the family: Transfer RNA (tRNA) molecules are approximately 80 nucleotides in length. Their secondary structure includes four short double-helical elements and three loops (D, anti-codon, and T loops). Lineage: Bacteria; Pseudomonadati; Bacteroidota; Bacteroidia; Bacteroidales; Dysgonomonadaceae. The record is from RNAcentral.
GCGGAAGUAGCUCAGUUGAUAGAGCAUUAGCCUUCCAAGCUGAGGGUCGAGGGUUUGAGCCCCGUCUUCCGCU